Molecule: RNA transcript, 1448 nt
Organism: Helianthus annuus (common sunflower)
Lineage: Eukaryota; Viridiplantae; Streptophyta; Magnoliopsida; Asterales; Asteraceae
Exons: 4
Source: RefSeq, a predicted model, not a curated record
AAUCCACAUCUUUGUAAAAUCUUUUUAUGUAAUAGGAUACAAAGCCUUUUACUUGUGCUCAAUGGGGGUGUAAACGAGCCGAGCCAAACCGAGUCAGUCAAGGCUCGAGCUCGGGCUCGAACAGAAACAAGCCGAGCCUCGGCUCGAAAAAAAUCAAACGAGCUGAAUGUAUAGGCUCAAGCUCGGCUCGAAAAUCUCGAGCCAGCUCGUUAAGCUAGCUCGCAAAAAUUGUAUUUUGUUUACUUUAAACCAAUUAACCACCCAACCAAAAUGGCCUAUGGGUAUAAAAGGUUUAAAUCACCAAAAGGCUCAACUUGGACUAGUAAUUUUUAACUCAAGGGGUUCUUCAUUUAUAGAUAGUCUCCCCUCUAUAUUCUUGUUUCUAAUAGCAAUGUGGGACAAAGUUUUAAUCAAAUCCUCCCUUUUAUUUUAUAGCUAAUCCAACCUUUUCAUAUAUUAAUUCAAGGUCGAUGUGGGACUCCUUUUUUAAACCAAACCUGCAUAUUAAUUUGUUGCAUAUCCAUGGAUGUAUAGUUUUGAACUUUCUUAUGUUUAGCUAAAUGCAAGCUGAGACUUGUUAGUAUCAAAAUUUUCACAUAACUCAUUUAGGAGUAUAUCAAUGAGGCAAAUAAAGCUUAAAAGCUAUUAAUAUGGAAAAAUAUGGUCUAUGAAUGGGUGAAUGCUACUACAAAGAUAAAUGAUGUGGUGUUUUGUCAAGCCGAUUCAAUCUGAGAGCCUCUGCUCUCAAUGAAGGUUCUAGUUUCAAGAAAGUGUUGUUUUUGAAACCGUCCACAACUGGCUAUUUAGUUAGUUUGGAGCAAAAUGAUGUUGGUUUUAACAUGGAGAUUGCUGGUAAUGACAUGUUUGCUACCGAUAACUCUUGCAUAACUGGACCAAGUGAAAACUACCCCAAAACGGCUGUUGAAUUACCCGUUGCUAAGAUUUCUCUACACAGUUUUAUGGAGUGGGGACUAGCUAAAUCACAUCAGAUCUAGAUGAAGAUAAUAAAUGGUUCGUUGAAGAAGCUUUGAAAGAAUCUUUACUCAAAGAUAUGGAGAAGUUUUUUGAAAAAAUUGACUGGGAAAAACUGCUUUUCAUGAUGCCCUGCUACCAGCCUAGGCACCAGUUAAGCGUUGGAAUGAAAGUUUGUUUGCCGUUUCUCUUAUUUUUGUUGAAGUAUUAUCAAGUCUCUUCAAUGAGGGCAGCAGAGAAGAAAGCGGCUGAGGAGAAGAAGAAGAUGAUGAAAGAGUAAAUAGCUAGUUGGCAGUAAGAAAUAGUUUGUCAUAGUUUGAAACAAUGUUGGUAUGGACAAAACGGAUGCUAAUAUAGUAAGUAGUAUUAUACUAAAUAGUAUAAUUGAAAGAAUAAAAAGCUCUUGGAUCUAGGUGCUAAUCUGAUAUUAAUGUUUUCAUUUAAAGUGUUUAGUGUUUUUUAAUCAUUUUCAUAAA